RNAcentral lists this ribosomal RNA (352 nucleotides) under uncultured bacterium. RNAcentral describes it as "bacterial SSU rRNA". It matches the Rfam family "Bacterial small subunit ribosomal RNA", at positions 8 to 350 of the family's 1533-position model. The record is from RNAcentral.
AGAGUUUGAUCAUGGCUCAGGAUGAACGCUAGCGACAGGCUUAACACAUGCAAGUCGAGGGGCAGCAUGAUUUGUAGCAAUACAGAUUGAUGGCGACCGGCGCACGGGUGAGUAACGCGUAUGCAACUUACCUAUCAGAGGGGGAUAGCCCGGCGAAAGUCGGAUUAAUACCCCAUAAAACAGGGGUCCCGCAUGGGAAUAUUUGUUAAAGAUUCAUCGCUGAUAGAUAGGCAUGCGUUCCAUUAGGCAGUUGGCGGGGUAACGGCCCACAAACCGACGAUGGAUAGGGGUUCUGGAGAGGAAGGUCCCCCANAUUGGUACUGAGACACGGACCAAACUCCUACGGGAGGCA